GACGAACGCUGGCGGCGUGCUUAACACAUGCAAGUCGAACGGUGAACCGGGCUUCGGCCCGGGGAUCAGUGGCGAACGCGUGCGCAACACGUGGGCAACCUGCCCCAGACACUGGGCUAACCCCGUGAAACCGGGGCUAAUACCCGCUACUCCGAUCGGAGCGCAUGACCCGACCGGGCAAGCUCCGACGGUCUGGGAUGGGCCCGCGGCCUAGCAGAUUGUUGGUGGGGUAACGGCCAACCAAGGCGACCACGGGUAGCUGGUCUGAGAGGACGACCAGCCACACUGGAACUGAGAUACGGUCCAGACUCCUACGGGAGGCAGCAGUGGGGAAUCUUGCACAAUGGGCGAAAGCCUGAUGCAGCGACGCCGCGUGGGGGACGAAGGCCCUCGGGUUGUAAACCCCUUUCGGCAGGGAAGAAGCGCAAGUGACGGUACCUGCAGAAGAAGUCCCGGCUAACUACGUGCCAGCAGCCGCCGUAA
This 483-nucleotide ribosomal RNA is filed under the name uncultured bacterium. RNAcentral's name for it is "partial 16S ribosomal RNA". It matches the Rfam family "Bacterial small subunit ribosomal RNA", at positions 28 to 523 of the family's 1533-position model. The record is from RNAcentral.